This 252-nucleotide ribosomal RNA is filed under the name uncultured bacterium. RNAcentral's name for it is "partial 16S ribosomal RNA". It matches the Rfam family "Bacterial small subunit ribosomal RNA", at positions 524 to 776 of the family's 1533-position model. The record is from RNAcentral.
UACGUAGGUCCCGAGCGUUGUCCGGAUUUAUUGGGCGUAAAGCGAGCGCAGGUGGUUUAUUAAGUCUGGUGUAAAAGGCAGUGGCUCAACCAUUGUAUGCAUUGGAAACUGGUAGACUUGAGUGCAGGAGAGGAGAGUGGAAUUCCAUGUGUAGCGGUGAAAUGCGUAGAUAUAUGGAGGAACACCGGUGGCGAAAGCGGCUCUCUGGCCUGUAACUGACGCUGAGGCACGAAAGCGUGGGGAGCGAACAGG